This 253-nucleotide ribosomal RNA is filed under the name uncultured bacterium. RNAcentral's name for it is "partial 16S ribosomal RNA". It matches the Rfam family "Bacterial small subunit ribosomal RNA", at positions 524 to 776 of the family's 1533-position model. The record is from RNAcentral.
UACGGAGGAUCCAAGCGUUAUCCGGAAUCAUUGGGUUUAAAGGGUCCGUAGGCGGUUUAAUAAGUCAGUGGUGAAAGCCCAUCGCUCAACGGUGGAACGGCCAUUGAUACUGUUAAACUUGAAUUAUUAGGAAGUAACUAGAAUAUGUAGUGUAGCGGUGAAAUGCUUAGAGAUUACAUGGAAUACCAAUUGCGAAGGCAGCUCGCUGGGACGUAACUGACGCUGAGACGCGAAAGCGUGGGGAGCAAACAGG